Long non-coding RNA from Alexandromys fortis (reed vole), 1878 nucleotides. RefSeq lists it as uncharacterized. The transcript is spliced from 3 exons. The record is from RefSeq and is a predicted model, not a curated record. Lineage: Eukaryota; Metazoa; Chordata; Mammalia; Rodentia; Cricetidae.
GUUCAAUUCAUUCGGCUGUAAAGCGAGGGAAAACCACAACGACAAGGUGGGCCCAGGAUUCUGGUGACUGACAAGUCUUCAGUUCCAGUAGGCUUUCUUUGCUGAGGUUUGUGGGUCCUUUGGUGCCUAGACCCAACCUGGCCUCCUGUAAAGCCGAAGUCUUCUUCCAAAGUUGCAAACCAGAAUAUGGAGCCCAGUGGACCGGGUGCUGUACUUCUGACUGGUGUGAGCUGUACCUGGGUCUAUGGAGUCUGUUGGAGUUUCUGAAAAGGAAUGGCCAUCGGAGAGGAUGAUGAGGAUCUGUUCUGAGGAAGCCCGCUUGUGCACACGUGGGAAAGCUGCUUGCUGGCCCCGGGCCUGGAACCACCUUCCGCGCCCACUCGGCCUGGUCUCAUUCCAGAAGCCGCGUCCGCCCAGGUGAGGCGAGGCCUCUCUUCCAGCCGCUCAGCCCCGCCCCUUGGGCACGGUUUUGGUUUUCGGGUGCAGACAGGUCUGCAUUCCACUGAAGAGGCCUGCUUGGCCCAUCAAAGCCGGCGACAGAGCCACAUCACAGAAACCCACGAUGCCAGCCUGCAGUUCCAACGAUCUCCACGAGGGGCGCCAGCAGGACUGGCCAUGCCGGCUGCUACCCAAUUCAGGGGGCCUCUAGGAACCUUCUGGAGCCCUGGGGCUCUGCUGCCACCACCAAGGUUCUUUCGCCUUCACUCAAUCCAGCUGUGCUGUGCUAUCAGCGGUCGCCUGGAUUUCUAAAAUUUUCUUAAGCACCUGAUAAGAUGAUGGGGGAGGCUACCAGCUGCGAGCCAGACUCCGGAAGGAGAGGCUUUGGGAGCCCUUGUGCUUGGGGUGAUGAGUGGUGGAGGCGACGGUGAAUCCAAAGUCUGUACAUUCCGAGACUGGAGCCAGGAACAAAAAAGAUUCCACUGUUCGGAUGUUUUCGCCCCUGAGGCUGAAAUAACAGCGGAGGCCUGACUGCCCACGUGGUGUCUGUGGCCAGAAUAGGACCCACAUAAUAAUGGCUUAGAUCAGGGAAGGGCCUUUCCCAUUCCGUGAUGCAAUAUUGUCAUGACAGCAACAACAAGGCUCCGCCAGCUGAAGUAGGUACAUCAUGGCGCCUUGCCUCUGCCCUGCCCACACCUCUGUGCCUUCCAGUAGCAUUCCCUGGACGUGUGUGGAGUUGCAGGACUCCAGGGAAGUGCCAGGCUCCAGAGAGACCUGCCCUGGGCUCAUCCCCGAGGGACUGCUGGGCUGAGCUGGUUCACUCUUCCUGAGCCACCAUUCAGCAAACAGAGAGCUAUGUGGGUGGGCUAUCUCGUAGAGACACGAUUGUGCCCAUUCCUCUAUAACUGUCCCUGAGUUGUGACCACACUUUUGCAAGAAGUUUACCUUAAACAGCCCUAACAAAAUGGCACAGGCUAGUUAACCAAGGAACACAGGAUGUGAUAGACAGGAACCCACAAAGGGAUUCUGUGAGCCAGCUCAGAUUGAUUUUGUGAGGUACAUAAUCAUGGAUUUUGGGGAAAGAGGAGUCCAGAGCUGUAAGACUAGAUACAGACAACUGGACACAUCUGGAUACAGACAACUGGAAAGACUCCAGUCAAUAGGAGGAUGGGAAACAUCCUUCUCGGCACAGGUGAGUUGGAACCAAGAGUGCCAGGAUUUCAAGACCAUCCUCAGCUUAUAUCAAGUCAAAGGCUAGCAUGGCUAUGGGAGCCCCUCUCUCAGCCAACAGGGUAGGCAGAGUCCAUACCUAGUAAGCCUGAGGCCCUAGGUUCAAUUCCCGGCACAGAAGGAAGAACGGAAGGAAAGAAGGGAGGAAGGGAAGAAUUCAAAAACAGGCUUAGGAACAGCAAACGAAGGUAGAUUUCAAAUAUACAAAUU